Molecule: small nuclear RNA, 125 nt
Organism: Cavia porcellus (domestic guinea pig)
Lineage: Eukaryota; Metazoa; Chordata; Mammalia; Rodentia; Caviidae
Source: Ensembl
AUGUUGUGUGAAAGCAGAGCAGGCUAGCACUCUCCUUCAUAAAGAUGAAAGUGGCCCUCAGGCUUAACAACGUACAUACAGUCAAGGCAUUGCCACCUCUUCAUUUCAUGAAACCAAUUCCUGUU